AAUAAGUGGUCAUGAGUUUUCGUGCCUAACUUUGAUCAUCUGUCUUAUUUAAUUUUUUUUAUAAUUAGCAUUUUUGUUGUUAUGAGAUGAUAAAACAUGAAUAGUACUUUACUCGUGACUUAUGUUUUUAAUUUUUUUAAAUUUUUUUUAAAUAAGACGAACGAUUAAAGUUGGGUGUGAAAAACCAUGGCUACACUUAUU
This 201-nucleotide microRNA precursor is filed under the name Oryza glumipatula. Its description in RNAcentral is "MIR812 microRNA precursor family". It matches the Rfam family "MIR812 microRNA precursor family". The record is from Rfam by way of RNAcentral. Lineage: Eukaryota; Viridiplantae; Streptophyta; Magnoliopsida; Poales; Poaceae.